GAUGAACGCUGGCGGCGUGCCUAAUACAUGCAAGUCGAGCGAACGGACGAGAAGCUUGCUUCUCUGAUGUUAGCGGCGGACGGGUUAGUAACACGUGGAUAACCUACCUAUAAGACUGGGAUAACUUCGGGAAACCGGAGCUAAUACCGGAUAAUAUUUUGAACCGCAUGGUUCAAAAGUUAAAGACGGUCUUGCUGUCACUUAUAGAUGGAUCCGCGCUGCAUUAGCUAGUUGGUAAGGUAACGGCUUACCAAGGCAACGAUGCAUAGCCGACCUGAGAAGGUGAUCGGCCACACUGGGACUGAGACACGGUCCAGACUCCUAAGGGAGGGAGCAGUAGGGAAUCUUCCGCAAUGGGCGAAAGCCUGACGGAGCAAAGCCGCGUGGGUGAUGAAGGUCUUCGGAUCGUAAAACUCUGUUAUUAGGGAAGAACAUAUGUGUAAGUAACUGUGCACGUCUUGACGGUACCUAAUCAGAAAGCCACGGCUAACUACGUG
Molecule: ribosomal RNA, 497 nt
Filed under: uncultured bacterium
Lineage: Bacteria
Description: partial 16S ribosomal RNA
Rfam family: Bacterial small subunit ribosomal RNA
Source: RNAcentral